RNAcentral lists this ribosomal RNA (1338 nucleotides) under Cassava witches'-broom aster yellows phytoplasma. RNAcentral describes it as "Cassava witches'-broom phytoplasma 16S ribosomal RNA". It matches the Rfam family "Bacterial small subunit ribosomal RNA", at positions 113 to 1446 of the family's 1533-position model. The record is from RNAcentral. Lineage: Bacteria; Bacillati; Mycoplasmatota; Mollicutes; Acholeplasmatales; Acholeplasmataceae.
ACACGUAAGUAACCUGCCUUUAAGACGAGGAUAACAAUUGGAAACGGUUGCUAAGACUGGAUAGGAAACAAAAAGGCAUCUUUUUGUUUUUAAAAGACCUUCUUAUGAAGGUAUGCUUAAAGAGGGGCUUGCGCCACAUUAGUUAGUUGGUAGGGUAAAAGCCUACCAAGACGAUGAUGUGUAGCUGGACUGAGAGGUUGAACAGCCACAUUGGGACUGAGACACGGCCCAAACUCCUACGGGAGGCAGCAGUAGGGAAUUUUCGGCAAUGGAGGAAACUCUGACCGAGCAACGCCGCGUGAACGAUGAAGUAUUUCGGUAUGUAAAGUUCUUUUUAUUGAAGAAGAAAAAGUAGUGGAAAAACUAUAUUGACGUUAUUCAAUGAAUAAGCCCCGGCUAACUAUGUGCCAGCAGCCGCGGUAAGACAUAGGGGGCGAGCGUUAUCCGGAAUUAUUGGGCGUAAAGGGUGCGUAGGCUGUUAGAUAAGUCUAUAAUUUAAUUUCAGUGCUUAACGCUGUCUUGUUAUAGAAACUGYCUUGACUAGAGUGAGAUAGAGGCAAGCGGAAUUCCAUGUGUAGCGGUAAAAUGUGUAAAUAUAUGGAGGAACACCAGAAGCGUAGGCGGCUUGCUGGGUCUUGACUGACGCUGAGGCACGAAAGCGUGGGUAGCAAACAGGAUUAGAUACCCUGGUAGUCCACGCCGUAAACGAUGAGUACUAAGUGUCGGGGUAAAACUCGGUACUGAAGUUAACACAUUAAGUACUCCGCCUGAGUAGUACGUACGCAAGUAUGAAACUUAAAGGAAUUGACGGGACUCCGCACAAGCGGUGGAUCAUGUUGUUUAAUUCGAAGAUACACGAAAAAUCUUACCAGGUCUUGACAUACUCUGCAAAGCUAUAGAAAUAUAGUGGAGGUUAUCAGGGAUACAGGUGGUGCAUGGUUGUCGUCAGUUCGUGUCGUGAGAUGUUAGGUUAAGUCCUAAAACGAGCGCAACCCUUGUCGUUAAUUGCCAGCACGUAAUGGUGGGGACUUUAGCGAGACUGCCAAUUAAACAUUGGAGGAAGGUGAGGAUUACGUCAAAUCAUCAUGCCCCUUAUGAUCUGGGCUACAAACGUGAUACAAUGGCUGUGACAAAGAGUAGCUGAAACGCGAGUUUUUGGCCAAUCUCAAAAAAGCAGUCUCAGUUCGGAUUGAAGUCUGUAACUCGACUUCAUGAAGUUGGAAUCGCUAGUAAUCGCGAAUCAGCAUGUCGCGGUGAAUACGUUCUCGGGGUUUGUACACACCGCCCGUCAAACCACGAAAGUUAGCAAUACCCGAAAACAGUAGCUUAACUCGCAAG